This 497-nucleotide ribosomal RNA is filed under the name uncultured bacterium. RNAcentral's name for it is "partial 16S ribosomal RNA". It matches the Rfam family "Bacterial small subunit ribosomal RNA", at positions 28 to 507 of the family's 1533-position model. The record is from RNAcentral.
GAUGAACGCUGGCGGCGUGCCUAAUACAUGCAAGUCGAGCGAACGGACGAGAAGCUUGCUUCUCUGAUGUUAGCGGCGGACGGGUGAGUAACACGUGGAUAACCUACCUAUAAGACUGGGAUAACUUCGGGAAACCGGAGCUAAUACCGGAUGAUAUUUUGAACCGCAUGGUUCAAAAGUGAAAGACGGUCUUGCUGUCACUUAUAGAUGGAUCCGCGCUCCAUUAGCUAGUUGGUAAGGUAACGGCUUACCAAGGCAACGAUGCAUAGCCGACCUGAGAGGGUGAUCGGCCACACUGGAACUGAGACACGGUCCAGACUCCUACGGGAGGCAGCAGUAGGGAAUCUUCCGCAAUGGGCGAAAGCCUGACGGAGCAACGCCGCGUGAGUGAUGAAGGUCUUCGGAUCGUAAAACCCUGUUAUUAGGGAAGAACAUAUGUGUAAGUAACUGUGCACAUCUUGACGGUACCUAAUCAGAAAGCCACGGCUAACUACGUG